RNAcentral lists this long non-coding RNA (220 nucleotides) under Elaeis guineensis (African oil palm). RNAcentral's name for it is "long non-coding RNA (EGUI_LNC012060)". The record is from RNAcentral. Lineage: Eukaryota; Viridiplantae; Streptophyta; Magnoliopsida; Arecales; Arecaceae.
AUACAUGCCUUUGAUUUUGGAGGUGUCCAAGAUUGACAGUAUUCCCUUUCUCUCUUUUGAUGGUUGGGAUGUUUUUCUGGCUUUGGUAGGAUUUAUUUUGUUGUCUUUUAUUAUAUUUUUAAGUUCAUAUGUUGUAAAUUGUUGGUAUUGGAUGUUGAUAUUGUCUUCUUUUAUGCUUGAAUAUUGAUAUUUUAUGGACUCCAUAGGAGUUGGAGGGGAG